Molecule: ribosomal RNA, 847 nt
Filed under: uncultured bacterium
Lineage: Bacteria
Description: bacterial SSU rRNA
Rfam family: Bacterial small subunit ribosomal RNA
Source: RNAcentral
UGCAAGUCGAACGAGCGAGAGAGAGCUUGCUUUCUCGAGCGAGUGGCGAACGGGUGAGUAACGCGUGAGGAACCUGCCUCAAAGAGGGGGACAACAGUUGGAAACGACUGCUAAUACCGCAUAAGCCCACGGCUCGGCAUCGAGCAGAGGGAAAAGGAGCAAUCCGCUUUGAGAUGGCCUCGCGUCCGAUUAGCUAGUUGGUGAGGUAACGGCCCACCAAGGCGACGAUCGGUAGCCGGACUGAGAGGUUGAACGGCCACAUUGGGACUGAGACACGGCCCAGACUCCUACGGGAGGCAGCAGUGGGGAAUAUUGCACAAUGGGGGAAACCCUGAUGCAGCGACGCCGCGUGGAGGAAGAAGGUCUUCGGAUUGUAAACUCCUGUUGUUGGGGAAGAUAAUGACGGUACCCAACAAGGAAGUGACGGCUAACUACGUGCCAGCAGCCGCGGUAAAACGUAGGUCACAAGCGUUGUCCGGAAUUACUGGGUGUAAAGGGAGCGCAGGCGGGAAGACAAGUUGGAAGUGAAAUCUAUGGGCUCAACCCAUAAACUGCUUUCAAAACUGUUUUUCUUGAGUAGUGCAGAGGUAGGCGGAAUUCCCGGUGUAGCGGUGGAAUGCGUAGAUAUCGGGAGGAACACCAGUGGCGAAGGCGGCCUACUGGGCACCAACUGACGCUGAGGCUCGAAAGUGUGGGUAGCAAACAGGAUUAGAUACCCUGGUAGUCCACACCGUAAACGAUGAUUACUAGGUGUUGGAGGAUUGACCCCUUCAGUGCCGCAGUUAACACAAUAAGUAAUCCACCUGGGGAGUACGACCGCAAGGUUGAAACUCAAAGGAAUUGACGG